RNAcentral lists this ribosomal RNA (449 nucleotides) under uncultured soil bacterium. RNAcentral's name for it is "bacterial SSU rRNA". It matches the Rfam family "Bacterial small subunit ribosomal RNA", at positions 26 to 519 of the family's 1533-position model. The record is from RNAcentral.
AGGAUGAACGCUGGCGGUGUGCCUAAUACAUGCAAGUCGUGCGGAAAGGCUCUUCGGAGUACUCGAGCGGCGGACGGCUGAGUAACGCGUGGGAACGUGCCCCAAAGUGAGGGAUAAGCACCGGGAACGGUGUCUAAUACCGCAUAUGGUCUUCGGAUUAAAGUAUUUAUACGCUUUGGGAGCGGCCUGCGUACGAUUAGAUAGUUGGUGAGGUAAAGGCUCACCAAGUCUACGAUCGUUAACUGGUCUGAGAGGAUGAUCAGUCAGACUGGAACUGAGACACGGUCCAGACUCCUACGGGAGGCAGCAGUAAGGAUCUCACAAUGGGGAAACCUGAUGGAGCAACACCGCGUGCAGGAUGAAGCCUUGGUCGUAAACUGCUUUUAUGAGUGAAGAAUAUGACGGUAACUCAUAGAAGUAAGGUCGACUAACUACGUGCAGCAGCCGAC